AGGAGUUGUCUUCUCCAAGUCCAAUGAAAGAGGACUCUUCCUGUUAGAGUCCGAUAAAUUGCCCAAAUUUCCUUCUAAAAACCCCAAUUUUGCCUAUAAAAGAGUUCCCUAACCUUUCUUCUAGAAUUCGGGCAUUAGAUUUCUCUAUUAGAGCAAGGAUUCAAGUUCUCUAUGGAGGGUUUCUACCAUUGUUUUGGCCAUGAUGACCUCACUGCGGUGAAGACCAAUGGCAGCCGACCAUCGCCACUGCCGUCGCGUGCCAAUACCACUGCCACCACCAACCGGUAUGUGGGGUCACCAGCCCUAAAGCUCCCGUGGCCACGUUUGGGAACAAGAGAAAAGGGGAGUUCCCUAUUUUGAAGAAGAGAAGAGUCCCCUCUUCUCUCUCCUCUCUUUUCUCUCCUCUUUCUUUCUUUCUUCUAUCUCUUCCCUAAUUUUCUCUCUCCUCUAUCUUCUUUCUCUCUCUAGAUGACUCAAGGGAUUGGGUGAAGAGAGAUUCACAAGGCUAGUAAUGAACCCAUGGUGACCCAACAGAGAGUACCAAGCUGAUAAUUAUAUUUUUAUACAGCUUUGAUAAUUGGAUUUGAUUUUAUAGAAGAGCAGUUGUUUGGAUCAAUGGUGGGUCUAGAAGUAUUUUGGAGCUUCAGGUCGACCCUAGGAGAGGUCCCAAACCGGCAUUAUGAGAUCAGGGUGAGAAAUUGCCAGGGCAAGACAAUGUUGAGCCAAACACUUUGCCAUGGAAUUCAUAGUCUGAGGAGCUGAGGAGUAGGUCAAUGUUUAGACUAGUCUCAGUUGAAAAGUUCCAGAUUUGGGUCCAACAUGUUUGUGUCAGAAAGCAUAUAUAUAGUUUUUAACUGAACAUAUUGUUCUGCAUGAAAAACAUGUCCAUGUAUUAUGUUCUGAAAUAAACAGCCCAAAAGGCAUUCGAAUUUUCAA
Molecule: long non-coding RNA, 936 nt
Organism: Elaeis guineensis (African oil palm)
Lineage: Eukaryota; Viridiplantae; Streptophyta; Magnoliopsida; Arecales; Arecaceae
Source: RefSeq, a predicted model, not a curated record